This 254-nucleotide ribosomal RNA is filed under the name uncultured bacterium. Its description in RNAcentral is "partial 16S ribosomal RNA". It matches the Rfam family "Bacterial small subunit ribosomal RNA", at positions 524 to 776 of the family's 1533-position model. The record is from RNAcentral.
UACAGAGGUCCCAAGCGUUGUUCGGAUUCACUGGGCGUAAAGCGUGCGCAGGCGGUUAUUUAAGUCAGGUGUGAAAGCCCUGGGCUUAACCUAGGAAUUGCGCUUGAGACUGGAUAGCUUGGAGUGCGGCAGAGGGAGGUGGAAUUCCACGUGUAGCAGUGAAAUGCGUAGAGAUGUGGAGGAACACCGAUGGCGAAGGCAGCCUCCUGGGCCAGCACUGACGCUCAUGCACGAAAGCGUGGGGAGCAAACAGG